RNAcentral lists this long non-coding RNA (856 nucleotides) under Linum usitatissimum (flax). Its description in RNAcentral is "long non-coding RNA (LUSI_LNC007730)". Lineage: Eukaryota; Viridiplantae; Streptophyta; Magnoliopsida; Malpighiales; Linaceae. The record is from RNAcentral.
UAUUGAAAUAAUGAAAAAUAAUUCAUUAAAACUAUACUCUUUGUAAUAUGUUUUUUCUAAUUCGGGUCCAGACCAGGCCGUGUUUUACUCGAAAAGUCUAAAAACAAAAAAUCUUUGUAUUAUGCUUGUGUAGACCGAUCUCAACCCAAUCCUAUCUAUUUAGUUCCAAGUGAGGUGGUACACCUUCAUCAUGCAUAGUAAAGAAGAUUGUCAGCGUGUCUUUGACCAACGAGAUGAUCUGCCACGUUGGCAGUGUAUCAGAAGCUGCAAUCGCACAGUGAACACAUCCACCUCCCGUUACAGUUGCGCAUCACAUACGGAGAUACCAAUUCCAACUCACUCUCGUCACAGCUCGCCUCCACUAUCCAUAGCUGCUUCACCACUGCCCGCAUACUUCCCUCGUAGGUGACGGUUCAACGUUGCCUGACGCACCACCUUCACGUCGCACAGGUUGCAUCUCCAACAAGUCUUACCCUGCGGCGCCGCCGGCAGAGCUUUUAAUUCCUGCUGCUGCUGCGGCGGCGGUUUAAAUGCAUUAAUGAUGUUACUAUUAGCAUUUAGUUCUUCCUUGUUGCUGUUGUCCUCCUCCUCCUCGUGUAUUCCGGCAUCUGUCAAGAACCGCCGCGGAUCCCUGCAACCAGUCCAAAUUCAGAUGGGCUCAGCCAAUAAUCAAUACUACGUACGUACGUGCAAUUAGUUACGUGAGUGGAUAUAUGCUGAAAUGAAAGCACAACCACCAGGGGGAAGCUGCUGUUGUUGUUAGCAAAUGUAGGAAAGAAUUCCAACCAACCAAUAAUGAAUUCUUUGUUUCUAUCAUAUGGCUGGCUACCGUAAUUAUACCCUAGCUAUAAUUAAU